Molecule: long non-coding RNA, 6086 nt
Organism: Mobula hypostoma (lesser devil ray)
Lineage: Eukaryota; Metazoa; Chordata; Chondrichthyes; Myliobatiformes; Myliobatidae
Exons: 6
Source: RefSeq, a predicted model, not a curated record
GUGCUCUGGAUGCCGGAAAGGCUCGUGCCCGUGAUGGAGCAGGCCUUAGUUUGCAACUUUCUGUAGCUUUUUCUGAUUCUGUGCAGAGGCCCCUCCGUACCAGACAGUGAUGCAACCAGUUAGACUGCUCUCCACUGCACAUCUGCAGAAAUUUCUAUGUGGUGAAGUCUUUAAUUCAAUGUUUACUGUUUUUAACAAUUAAUUUGCUUGAAGCUUAUUUGAAAUCAGUCAGGCUAGCAUAUUUUUAGUUUCUGCUUUGAAUAUAGAUUUAUCUUCCUUUAAAACUUUUGGCUACUCCAACAAUUUUUUUCUGAAUUGCUGAUGGUUCAGUGAUAUGACGCUUUUUCACAAAUAGGUGUGUUUUGUAAUUGUUCAUCAACAUUUCUGAGAAGAGCUUGCCCCACUUUUGCUCCUUUCAAGGAUAUGCAUACAUACUGAAAGCAAAUAUUUACCUCCUCCUGAGAAGAUGUAUUCACUUCUGUAACUGUGUUUCCCAAAAAACACUUUUCAAAACUUAUCCUCAAGGAUUUAUUUUGUAGAUCGUCUUUGCAAUUGAGCUGAUUUGUCAUAGAGUCAUAGAGAAAUACACCACAGAAACAGGCCCUUCAGUCCAUCUAGUCUAUGCUGAAAACCAUUUAAACUGCCUACUCUCAGCAACCUGCUCUGACACUAUAGCCCUCUAUAUCAUUACCAUCCAUGUAUCUGUCCAAACUUCUCUCAAACAUUGAAAUCAAGCUCGCAUGGAUCACUUGUGCUGCCAGCUCAUUCCACACUGUCAUGACUCUUGGAGUGAAGAUGUUUCCGCUCAUGUUUCCCUUAAACUUCUCACCUUUCAGCCUUAACCCAUGACCUCUGGUUGAGGUCCCACCCAACCUCAGUGGAAAAAACCUCCUUGCAUUUACCCUAUCUAUACCCCUCAUAAUUUUUUAUACCUCCAUCAAAUCUCCUCUCAAUCUUCUACAUUCCAAGGAAUAAAGUCCUAACCUAUUCAAUAUUUCCUUAUAACUCAGGUCCUCCAGAUCCAGCAACAUCCCUGUAAAUUUUCUCUGCACUCUUUCAACCUUGUUUACAUCUUUCCUGUAGGUAGGUGACCAAAACUGCACUCAAUACUCCAAAUAAGGCCUCACUAAUGUCUUAUACAUCUUCAACAUAAGGUCUUAUCUAUUGUACUCAAUAAAUUGGCUUAUGAAGACCAACGUGCCAAAAGCUUUCUUUAUGACCCUAUCUACCAGUGCUGCCACUUUCACUGAAUUAUGUACCUGUAUUCUUAGAUCCCUUUGUUGUUUUUAAAAUAUUUUAAUGCCCUUCUUUGAAAUUGACACACCAAUUUAUUCAUUAAAAAAUCUUUUAAAACUUCUUUCUUUUCCAUUGAUACAAUUUGCUCUUUUCAUAUUUAUUUAGCAGGGCAGACUCAAUGGGCUGAAUGGCCUAAUGCUUCGCCUGUGUUGUAUGGAUUUAUGGAAUAUAUUUCACCCAAUCACCAGUGUGGAGUGUUGAACUGAAUAUGCCUAUUUGUAGUGCAGUUGAAACAGACCACUCUUACCAAACAGAAGCUAAUCCUCCUCCCACAUCUCAUGUUCUCCUUCCUCUUUUGAUCAUUUGGCUAUCAUGAGCAAGUGAGUUUCAUAGCUGAACCAUCUCGAGAGUGGUGAGCUAAUGGAUUAUGUAAGAUGAUGGAGUAGAGAGGACUUCGGGUGCUUGCCAGACCAUGUGACAUGAAUCACAAUCUUCGCCUGAAGCUGUGGAACAUUUCAUGAAUAUUAACCUGCAGAUUUGUACUGCAUGAGGGAGCAAGGAAAGCACAAAAGAGAGAGAGGGAGGGAGAGAGAGACAUCGAGAAAUAAAAUUAGUGAACAAGAAGUGUUAGAAAGAAAGAAAGCAGAUGGGUAUAAGAGACAACCGGAUAGACAGAAAAAGAGUGAGAGAGGCAGAGACAAAUAAAGAAGGGUGGAAGUAAAGAGACAGAUGGGCCAUUAGAGGAAAGGGUGAGGGGGAGACAAAGCUUGAGAUAGUGAUAGAGACAGACAGAUGGAUAUAGGCAGAGAGAGAGAGGAACAGAUAGACUGACUGAAGCAAAGUAAAAGGAGAAAGAGGAAGGUUGAGCGGUGUGGUUGAAGGCAAGAGUAAAACAUAGAAAUAAAAACAAAACUGAGCAAAAGAAGAUAAAUAGAAUGAAGGUGAAAGGGAGAAAAUACCAGGACCACCGACAGAUAGAAAGAGAGCUGGGGAGGGAGUGAGAUAGAUAAAUAAACAGAGAGAGAGCGAGUGAAGGACUUACGAGAAGGAAGGGCUUGGUUGUGCUAUGCACCAGUCGGGUGGUGCCUUUGAUUGGCGGUGCUUGGUGGGAGCGGCAGAUUGCUGGCGAGGCCGUUUGAUGUCUGAGAUGUGAACUCGCCACCAGCUGCCUGUGAGCACCGCUGCCCGCAAGGCUCGGAGAAAGCGAGCCAAGUGACCCCGCCUAUGCUGAAGCUUCCAGGGAGGGGGCUGCCGCCGGCGAUUCCCACGCAGCCCGGCAUAAAGCGCAUUCCUCGUACCCCCUCCCUCGCUCUCCCUUUCUGUGUGUCUGCCCGCGUGUGAAGGCCAGGUUACUCCGCAUGAGUUCCCUGCUGAUCUGCUCAUGUGUGUAUUUUCUCUUUCUCUCCCUCUCUCUCUCCGCCGUUGCCAUUUUUUAACCGAGGAUUCAUAUGCAAAUCGAGGGCAGGGCCGGUGCAUUUUCUCACAUAAACUUGAUCUGCCGAUGAAUACAGCCCUCUGUUCCUGCUAACGCUGCGUUGGCUUAAGAUCCUGCUGCCGGCCAGUAAACAGAGAGACAGACGGAAGAAGAAAAUUAAUAAAAGGAGCGAAGAGAGGUUUUUUUUUGCCUGGAAAUCAACCUCUUGCUCGGCUGUCACUCUGGCUGACGACUCUCAAGGCAACAGACGGACGUGACCGCUGCAGUCUGUGGCUAUGGCACCCUGAGGAGAGAGCGGCGAAUGGGGAUGAGCCAGCGUGUGUCGAUGGCUGCGUACCCACAGUUUGAAAGUCUGUCCAUGACUGUUAUCUUCCAGACAUCUACAGUGAGGAAAUAAAUGAAGUCUGACAAGACAUGAACGAAAUGAAGGAAACAUCCAGUGACAGACCAUAGCUACAAGACAGAGGUAAUGCUGCCUUGAGGAAAGUUUCACAACUGCAAGCAUUUGGAGAAUGCAGCUAAGGGUCAGCUCCAGGCUCGUUGAAUGCCAUGUGUAUCUGUAAAAGGAAAGUCCUACCGCUCGCCUGAAGGAAGAGGACUGCUGCUAGGUCAGACUACACAGCGAGAGACCAGACAGUGGCAGCUGUGGGAGAUUUGCAUUGGUUUGUUUUCCAAACUUUUCCCUCCUACCCCUCAAUCUGCAGAAGGCAAUGACCUAGAGUUCUUGAAGGGCCGUGCAUACAGGGAGGGUAGUCUGUUGUGUUCCCUCAAUCAGUCCCACUCCCACUAGGAGACCUACACAUGUAAAAUGCUAGAGGAACUCUGCAGGUCAGGCAGCAUGGAAAGGAAUCUCAGGUUUUUCAUUUUAAAUAUAAAGAUGAAGAUUAGCGUUAUUUGUCACAUUCACAUUGAAAUAUCAGAACACACAGUGAAAUACAUCAUUUUUGUGUCAACAACCAAUUUACAAACCUACAAGUGGUGCCAACCUAGCACGCCAACAAAUCCCUAACCUUAACCCAUAGGAAUGUAAAUGUGGAAGGGAACUGGAACAUCCGGAGGAAACCCAUGGAGUAACAGUGAAAACUCCUUACAGACAGUGGUCGGAUCUUACAGCCGACACUGUCAAGGUCUGGAAAAGAAGGGGGAAGGAGCCAGAAAAAGACGGCGGGAAGGGGAAGAAGUGCAAGCUGGCAGAUGAUAGAUGAGACCAGAUGAGAGGGAAGGUGGGUGGGGUGUGCAGUAGGAAGCUGGGAGUUGAUGGGUGGAAGAGGUGAAGGGCUGAAGAAGGAAUCCGAUAGAAGAGGAGAGUGGACCAUGGGGGGAGGGGCAUGAGAGGGAGGGAAGGGGAAGAGAAGGAGUAAGAGGGGAAGCUAGAAUGGGGAAUGGCAAAAGAGAGAAUUGGGGGAGACCCCAGGGAUACUGAUGGUGAGAAUUCAGCAAUGAUUUCUCUUGAUGGAGAUGUUUAUUUCCCAACAUUAGAAUAUAGAACAUAGAACAGUGUAGUAGAUGAACAGGCCCCUCAGCCCAUAACGUUGUGUUCCCUGUAUAUUCAACUGCCUCCUAAUUACCACCUAUUAUAUUUCUAAUGUUGUACAUACAAAUCAGUUCAUUACACUGUGCAUUGGGGUGGUACAAGGUAAAACAAUAACUGAUACAGAAAAAAAUGCAGUGUACACAGACAAUAGUUGCAAGAUUAUAUUGAGGAACAUUGUGAGGUCAAGAGUCCAUCUUAUUGUCACUUUGGAGACAUGGUGUUGCCAGAAGGGGUUUGCUAAUUAUGCAUUUAAUUACUGCUUCAAUUAGUUCAGCAAUGCCCAGGAAUGGAAAAGUUUACAGAAAGUGGUGGAUACGGCCCAGUCCAUCACAGGCAAAGCCCUUCCCAUCAGUCAGCACAUCACCGCGGAGUGCUGCCACGAGAAAACAGCAUCCAUCAUCAAGGAGCCCCACCAUCCAGGCCAUGCUCUCUUCUCACUGCUGCUAUUAGGAAGUACAGGAGCCUUAGAUCCCACGCCACCAGGUUAUUACUCCUCAACCAUCAGGCUCCUGAACUGGCGUGGAUAACUUCACUCAACUCUGAACUGAUUCCACAACCUACAGACUCACUUUCAAAGACUCUGCAACUCCUGUUCUUAGUAGUAUUUAUUUAUUUGUCUAUCUAGCCAUUACUUAUUUGUUUAUUUGUUUAUUAUUUAUUUACUUAUUUAUUUUAUUUUUUUUUGUAUUUGCGCAGUUUGUCUUCUUUGUAUUGUUUGUUAGACUUUGUGUAUAGUUUUUCAUUGAUUCUAUUGUAUAUCUCUAUUUUACUUUGAAUGCCCGCAAGAAAAUGAAUCUCAGGGUGGCAUAUGCGUACUUAAAUAAUAAAUUUACUUUGAACAACAUUGUGGGUUGAAGGACCUCGUCCUGUGCUGUCCUGUUCUAUGUCCGAGUCCUGUAGCCUUUGUUUUUCCCAACAAUCUCAAUCAUUUCUUGAUAUCAUGUGAACUGAGGGCUAAAUGGCCUACUGUAUCUGUUCAUGUUCUAACACAGAUCUUUAGAGUUUCACACAUUUCGACACCGUCAGGUUUUCACAGCCACAACCAGAAUCGUAAUCAGAACAAGGUUUAAGGUCACUGACAUCUGUUGUGAAAUGUAUGGUUUGGUGGCAGCAGUACAGUGCAAUACAUAAAAACAAAAAUAUAAAUUACAAUAAGAAAUAAAAAUUAAAUUAAGUAAAUAGUCCAAGUAGAGAGCGUAAGUAGUGAGGUACUGUUCAUAGCCUGGUCCAUUGUCCAUUCAGAAAUCUGAUGGCGGGGAGAAGUUCCUGAGUGUGCAUCUUCGGGCUCCUGUACCUCCUUCCUGAUGUAGCAAUGAGUACAGGAUAAUGAGAAUCCGUAAAGAUGGAUGCUGUCUUUCUGAGGCAUCGACUUUUGAAGUUGCUGGGUAGGGAAGUGUGCGUGAUGGAGCUGGCUGAGUUCACAACUUUCUGCAGCCCUUUCCGAUCCUUUGCAGUGACCCCCCCCCUCCCUCCCAUACCAGAUGGUGAUGCAACCAGUUAGAAUGCUCUCCACAAUACACCUGUAGAAAUUUGCAAGAGUCUGUGGUGACAAACCAAAUCUCCUCAAACUCCUAAUGAAAUACAGUUGUUUGUGUGCCUCCUUCCUAUUUUCCAAGCAGGUGAGGGUUAAUCCAUUGAGUUUUCAUUGUGAAUGAUCUCAUCCUUCUCUGUUUCCCCUUUUCAUCCUUUUGCUCAUGGUUUGAUCAUUUUUUUCUUGUUCCAACAUUCUUUCUCUAACUAAUGUAUUUUUUAUUAUUAUUACCAAAUAAAUUUUAUCUGAUGACAAUAUAUCCUUGUGUCUCUGUUGAUGAGUGGAUAAUACUCACUUCUUCAGGUGUGACCAACUGGGAACAGCCAUAAGAUUGACUGUGUCUUCACAUG